This 332-nucleotide unclassified non-coding RNA is filed under the name soil metagenome. Its description in RNAcentral is "partial contains 5.8S ribosomal RNA, internal transcribed spacer 2, and large subunit ribosomal RNA". The stretch from base 1 to 120 matches the Rfam family "5.8S ribosomal RNA", at positions 35 to 154 of the family's 154-position model. The record is from RNAcentral.
GAUGAAGAACGCAGCGAAAUGCGAUAAGUAGUGUGAAUUGCAGAAUUCAGUGAAUCUUCGAAUCUUUGAACGCACAUUGCGCCCUUUGGUAUUCCUUAGGGCAUGCCUGUUCGAGCGUCAUUUAAACCUUCAAGCUCAGCUUGGUGUUGGGUGACUGUCCGCUUCACCGCGGACUCGCCUCAAAAUUAUUGGCGGCCGGUACAUUGGCUUCGAGCGCAGCAGAAACGCGAACUCGGGCCCGUCGUAUUGGCUCCCAGAAGCUAUCUUCACAAUUUUGACCUCGGAUCAGGUAGGGAUACCCGCUGAACUUAAGCAUAUCAAUAAGCGGAGGA